Streptococcus pneumoniae R6 is the source of this 45-nucleotide small RNA. It matches the Rfam family "Streptococcus sRNA SpF51". The record is from Rfam. Lineage: Bacteria; Bacillati; Bacillota; Bacilli; Lactobacillales; Streptococcaceae.
AGUAUAGUCUCCUAAAUGCACUUAGCCCUUAUUAUAGGGCUUUUU